GUGCUCACUUCAGCAGCACAUAUGCUAAAACUGAAACAAUACAAGGAAGAUUGUUAUGGCCCCUGUGCAAGACUGAAAUGUAAAUUUAAAAAACAUGUAUCUGUUGU
This 107-nucleotide small nuclear RNA is filed under the name Microtus ochrogaster (prairie vole). Lineage: Eukaryota; Metazoa; Chordata; Mammalia; Rodentia; Cricetidae. The record is from RNAcentral.